AGCCUACUGGUGCUUAUCAUGGGCAUACUCUUUAUACCGACUGUAGAGAAAGAGGAGAAAAACCCACCCCAUAUAUACUUGGGCCUUUUGCCUGGUCUGUACUGUGAAUGGAAGGACAUGG
RNAcentral lists this small nucleolar RNA (121 nucleotides) under Sorex araneus (European shrew). Its description in RNAcentral is "Small nucleolar RNA SNORA51 (ENSSARG00000018570.1)". It matches the Rfam family "Small nucleolar RNA SNORA51". From Rfam's summary of the family: ACA51 is a member of the H/ACA class of snoRNA that guide the sites of modification of uridines to pseudouridines. The record is from RNAcentral. Lineage: Eukaryota; Metazoa; Chordata; Mammalia; Eulipotyphla; Soricidae.